CCUACGGGUGGCAGCAGUGAGGAAUAUUGGUCAAUGGGCGAGAGCCUGAACCAGCCAAGUCGCGUGAAGGAUGACGGCCCUACGGGUUGUAAACUUCUUUUGUCAGGGAGCAAUUGGGUCCACGCGUGGGCUUAGCGAGAGUACCUGAAGAAAAAGCAUCGGCUAACUCCGUGCCAGCAGCCGCGGUAAUACGGAGGAUGCGAGCGUUAUCCGGAUUUAUUGGGUUUAAAGGGUGCGCAGGCGGAAUGUCAAGUCAGCGGUAAAAUUUCGGGGCUCAACCCCGUCGUGCCGUUGAAACUGGCGUUCUUGAGUGAGCGAGAAGUAUGCGGAAUGCGUGGUGUAGCGGUGAAAUGCAUAGAUAUCACGCAGAACUCCGAUUGCGAAGGCAGCAUACCGGCGCUCAACUGACGCUCAUGCACGAAAGCGUGGGUAUCGAACAGGAUUAGAUACCCCAGUAGUC
Molecule: ribosomal RNA, 460 nt
Filed under: uncultured bacterium
Lineage: Bacteria
Description: partial 16S ribosomal RNA
Rfam family: Bacterial small subunit ribosomal RNA
Source: RNAcentral